AAGGCCUUAGCUUAAUUAAAGUGUUUGUUUUGCAUACAGAAGAUGUGGGGUAGAGUCCUGCAGGUCUUA
Molecule: transfer RNA, 69 nt
Filed under: Sargocentron rubrum (redcoat)
Lineage: Eukaryota; Metazoa; Chordata; Actinopteri; Holocentriformes; Holocentridae
Also listed under: 3 other names
Description: tRNA-Ala
Rfam family: tRNA
About the family: Transfer RNA (tRNA) molecules are approximately 80 nucleotides in length. Their secondary structure includes four short double-helical elements and three loops (D, anti-codon, and T loops).
Source: RNAcentral